GAUGAACGCUGGCGGCGUGCCUAAUACAUGCAAGUCGAGCGAACGGACGAGAAGCUUGCUGCUCUGAUGUUAGCGGCGGACGGGUGAGUAACACGUGGAUAACCUACCUAUAAGACUUGGAUAACUUCGGGAAACCGGAGCUAAUACCGGAUGAUAUUUUGAACCGCAUGGUUCAAAAGUGAAAGACGGUCUUGCUGUCACUUAUAGAUGGAUCCGCGCUGCAUUAGCUAGUUGGUAAGGUAACGGCUUACCAAGGCAACGAUGCAUAGCCGACCUGAGAGGGUGAUCGGCCACACUGGAACUGAGACAGGGUCCAGAGUCCUACGGGAGGCAGCAGUAGGGAAUCUUGCGCAAUGGGCGAAAGCCUGACGGAGGAACGCCGCGUGAGUGAUGAAGGUCUUCGGAUCGUAAAACGCUGUUAUUAGGGAAGAACAUAUGUGUAAGUACCUGUGCACAUCUUGACGGUACCUAAUCAGAAAGCCACGGCUAACUACGUG
RNAcentral lists this ribosomal RNA (497 nucleotides) under uncultured bacterium. RNAcentral describes it as "partial 16S ribosomal RNA". It matches the Rfam family "Bacterial small subunit ribosomal RNA", at positions 28 to 507 of the family's 1533-position model. The record is from RNAcentral.